CUGUCUUCCUUUGCUACCCGUGACAAGGAGAUGGAGUUGGCUCCUGCAGAUUGGUUCCGAUGUAUACGUCCUUGAGGUCCCCUGGGCAACACACGUCGCAUGACGGAACUUACUGCCACCUUCGCACUGCUUCGCUGAUGGCGCAAUCGAGGGAGACUGCACAUUGCUGCUACUCGUGUAAUUCUGUUGCUUCCCAGAGUCCAUCGCUACCCGUGACGAAGACAUGGAGCUGGCUUCAGCAGACUGGUUCUAAUGCCUACAUUCUUAAGUUCCCCGGGGCCCCAUUUGUCGUAUGACCGAACUUGUUGCCACAUUUGCACUGCUUCGCCGACGGCGACAUCAAAGGAGACUGGACAUGGUCACUACCUUUGCAGACGGCUCCCAGCGUGUUCUGGCGUGUGGCUCGCUACAGAAGAUUGGUCCAGCCCGCUCAUUGACAUCAGCAACAUCCGUGGCAUUUCCUCAAGAGCGACUGUGUCCAACAUGAACGUUCUACCGGGGACUCUGGGUCAUUCAAGUCUUCGUACGUUUCCAUGACUUUGUUGGGGUCCUGCACUGUCUUCGCCGCGUGUGGGUGUCCUCCGCAAAGACUGCAGUCGCCGUCGCUCGACCACCUACCACAUCCUGUGUUGCACUAAUGUUAACAGUUCAGUGCAGCAACCCACCCUAUGUGAAUAGCUUCGCUUCGCUCAGCCAACGGCUGGGGCAUCUAGCAGUUACAACAAUAUGAACCCAAAGAACUGUCAUAAGCAAUGAUUUCUCACUCAUGAGCUUAUUUAUGAAUGUUUGGCAG
This is a long non-coding RNA of Rhipicephalus sanguineus (brown dog tick), 793 nucleotides long. RefSeq lists it as uncharacterized. The transcript has 3 exons. The record is from RefSeq and is a predicted model, not a curated record. Lineage: Eukaryota; Metazoa; Arthropoda; Arachnida; Ixodida; Ixodidae.